RNAcentral lists this unclassified non-coding RNA (12854 nucleotides) under Mizuhopecten yessoensis (Yesso scallop). RNAcentral describes it as "homeobox protein cut-like 1, transcript variant X3". The record is from RNAcentral. Lineage: Eukaryota; Metazoa; Mollusca; Bivalvia; Pectinida; Pectinidae.
ACAGAGUGAACAUGAAUGGUAAUUAAUACACACGUUUAGAGAGUAUCUUCGAUUUCGGCCAGUCAUGUGAUCAAUCGAUCGGGGCUAUAAUCCCGUUCAAGAUGGCUGCGGGAGUGCAGUCGAUGUGUCAGUAUUGGAAAGACUUCGAUCUACAAGAACUGCAGAAACAACUAGAUGCAACAGCCACUGAAUUGGCCAAUAGACAGGACGAAAGUGAUGCCUCACGAAAAAGACUCGUAGAACAAAGCAGAGAUUUCAAGAAAAACACACCAGAGGAAUUACGUAAACUUGUGGCACCCCUAUUGAAAAGUUUCCAAGCAGAAGUUGACUCGCUGUCCAAACGAAGCAAGGCAGCAGAAGGAGCGUUCUUGUCUGUGUAUAGAAAGAUUAUUGACCUUCCAGAUCCUGUGUCCGUACUUGAAUAUGCCUCACAACUUCAGAAGAAAGCACAUCGAGUCAGUGAUUUGGAGAUUGAAAACAAACAGCUUCGGGAGACACUGGAAGAAUACAAUCAUGAAUUUGCUGAAGUGAAAAACCAAGAGGUGACUAUCAAACAGUUAAAGGAACGACUUCGAGACUGUGAGGAGAAGAUAGAAGCUACAGCAGAGACGAGGACCAAAGAGAAGGAGAGGGAGUUACAGAGGAACUUUGCAGACAAGGAGCGGCAACUACAAGAGAGUCAGUUGUCUGUGGCACGCAAACUCGGUGAAGCAGAACAGAAGGUGUCCACUCUCCAUGCAUCUUUGGAACAUGUACAACAGGAGCUGUUUGAAGUCAAGUCCAAGUACGAUGAGACGACGUCCGCAAAGUCAGAUGAAAUGGAAAUGGUGAUGGCUGACCUGGAGCGUGCCAAUGAGAGAGCAGCUGCAACAGAACGACAGGUAGAGCAACUACAGCAGCAGUUGACAAAAGCAGUGACACGAGACCAACCAGGCACGACUGAGAGCCUGGUCUCACCCAAUGUAGAGCAGGCUAUGGACAUCCUUCAGCGCUCAAGCCUUGAGGUGGAGCUCGCCGCCAAGGAGAAGGAGAUUGCUCAGCUUGUGGACGAUGUUCAGCGGCUACAGGCAUCUCUGAACAAACUGAGGGAGUCCUCAACCAAUCAGGUGUCUAAGCUGGAGGAAGAACUAACUCUAAAAAAUGAGGCAUUCAGAGUGAUGGAGGAAAAGAUGCGGUCACAGGGAGACUAUGAGGAGGUGAAACGUGAACUUGUCGUGCUCAAAUCCAUCGAGUUUUCCCAAAGGACUGAAGAAUCCGGAGAUGAUAACAAAUCCAAGUCUCUGGAGAUGCUACUUUUGGAGAAAAACAAGAGUCUCCAGUCGGAAAACACUACAGUGAAAGUGGCCAAGAGCGAGAUGUCAGGCGAUUCAACCCCCGCUCUCUCCGAAAAUGCCGAAGCAUUCGCGUCAAUGUUGGGCGAAGAAAUUGCAGCAACAUACCAGCAGCAGCAAAGGGAACAACAACAACAACAACAGCGGGAGCAGUCGCAGCAACAUCAGGAUGUGUCCCGGAUUUCAACCCCCUCCACGCCCUCCAGUGGUAGUGGGGGUGGGGUCGAGUCAGACAAAUCCUCACCAAAACGAACAUUUGAACGAGUACCCAGCAUUCCUAGUUCUGAUGUGUCACAAAUUCCUCCGCCAUCGCCACAGUUCUUCCCUUUUGGAAAUGGACCUUUAAUAUCAAACUAUGUGGGGCUAGGCGGUGUGGUGAAGCAAGAGUCCAGUAACUCCCAGGGCCUUGAUACGGCCCUCGUGGCAAAGACAAUACGGGAACUUUUGAGUAUACACAAUAUUGGUCAGCGCCUGUUCGCUAAACAUGUGUUAGGCCUUUCACAGGGUACGGUCAGCGAACUGCUGUCCAAACCCAAGUCUUGGGACAAACUGACAGAGAAGGGGCGAGAAUCAUACCGGAAGAUGUACCAGUGGGCCACUGACGAUCGCAACAUUCUAAGCCUCAAGGCUAUAUCACCAAAGAAAACAAACAAGGCAGCAACAGCGGCAGUCACCGCGGUAACUGGUGGCAGUGGUGGGAUGUCAUCAUCUGUGUUUAACUCUCUGCUCCCCGUAAUGUUCACAGGCUCGCAGCACCUUGUGCCUAGCGUGCAGCAUGAUGACUCGCACACCGAGGAACGCAUUGCUCAAAUCCUUAAUGAUGCUCAAAAAGCUAUGCAUAUGAAAAAAGCCAUGGAACAGCACCAGGUGGCAUCGGCCAUGGCUAGUAGCAUAUACCAGCAGGAGAUGACACGACUUGCCCAAGUUUCUGACCACCAGGUGGCACUACGCAGUCCGAACUCUGUGUCCUCAUCCAAUCAUGCACAUCACACAUCUCACUCACGGAAAUACAGUAUGGAUGGAGAGCGACAUAGAGACAGUGUGGAAAACUCUGUGUCCUCCAAAGAAAUGGUUGAACGCAUCUACAGACAAGAACUCCUCAAGCUGGCGAAAGCCGCUGAAAGUGCAGGAAACCUUGCUGCCAGCUCCAUGUACCAGCAGGAGCUAGCACGCCUUGCUGUAAAUGUGCAGAAGGAGGACCAGGAGCCUGGUGAGAUACGUCGCUCACACAGUUCGCCAGAGAACAUGACAGUAAAGACCGAGCCUCCAGAUAGUACCUCAGAUGAUUUGGGGGCGGCACAGUUUAACGGUUUCCAGUCUAAUGGGCCCAUCGACCUGAGUAAGCAUAGCAACUCGGCACCAACAACCCCCACCUCUGGCAGCUCCGACAAGUCGCCCUCUGACCCUAUUCAUCAUGCAGGAAGUGCCUUUUUUUUAGUUAGACCGAAGAUGAAUGGUCACGAGAACGGCUACGACAAACCUCGCUUUGGAUCCUACGCCCCAGCAGAGUGUAUAUCGCCACUACAACGCAUGCAAAGCAUUGCCAACUCUGUGAUGUCACGACCCCAUGUGGGCGUGUCCUCUAACAAACCCCUGAGGGCAGUGCUGCCCCCUAUUACACAAGAACAGUUUGACAAGUACGGCACCAUUGGCACAGAGGAGCUGGUUAAACAGGUUAAAGAAACAUUAAGUCAGUAUUCGAUCAGUCAGCGCCUGUUUGGGGAGAGUGUUCUAGGCCUAUCCCAGGGCUCUGUCAGCGAUCUCCUUGCACGCCCCAAACCCUGGCACAUGCUCACACAAAAAGGGAGAGAACCCUUCAUUAGAAUGCAGAUCUUUCUAGAGGACGGUGAGGCUAUCCCCAAACUGGUGGCAUCGCAGUAUCACAUCCCGCCAGAGAAACUGAUGAGAUCGGCCAUUGUCCGUGUACCAGGAGAACAAUUGUCGCCCCUGGAAAAGUCGACCCCUGUAGCUGUCGCGAGCACCCAAGUACCUCCCGACCAUCCCCUUCACCAUCUCCAUCACCGUCAACAGAUCCUCCCACAGCACAGUACCCCUGCCCAAAUCCUCGGGCAACACUACAACUGGGCUUCCUUCUCCUAUCCAUCCUCCAUGUUGGAAGUUGUGGCCAUGACCUCAGAGAUUGACACCUUGGAAUUGACAUCUAGGGUCAAGGAUGUUCUCCAGUUUCACAAUCUUGGCCAGAAGCUGUUUGGAGAGGCUGUGCUUGGGCUUUCGCAGGGCUCAGUUAGUGAGCUCCUGUCUAAGCCCAAACCCUGGCAUAUGCUCAGUAUCAAAGGGCGUGAGCCCUUCAUAAAAAUGCACCUAUGGUUGAGCGAUCCGCACAAUGUAGAUCGCCUCAAGCACUACCAGAACGAAAUCAAAGCCCAGCGCCGGAGAAGAAGCAGUAGUGUGGAUGAUCGUUCCUACGACUCGCCGUCAGCACCCAAACGCCCUCGAGUCUUUUUCAAUGAAGAUCAAAAGGAAAAAUUACGAAUGGCAUACAACCAGGACCCAUACCCAAACCAGAGUACCAUCGAAGGUUUGGCUAACGAACUCAAUGUUGGGGUUAAGACCGUUAUCAACUGGUUUCACAAUCACCGCAUGCGGGCCAAACAACAGCAGCAUGCCGGGAACACACCAGGUCCAGCAUCUGGCUCUAGCUUUAGCGACUUCUCAGGAAAUAUGGUAAAGUCUGAGCCAACUGACGACAACUCCGACCAGAGUGAUAUCUCUAGUAUGUCUGGAGAUGGCAACCAGUUUCAACCCAGUUUCCAGGGCAACGAAGGCUCUGGGCAGUGGUUGUUCCCACAGUUUGAGCCUGUGAACUCCAAACAACCUGGGCCUUUGGAAAGUGAAAGGGAAAAUGGGGAAGAGCUAGAGGAUGACCGUGUUUCUGGUGAGGCAUCUCCACUAUCAUCCAAAGCAUCGUCCCAGGGUGAUGAGGGGAAGGAGGAACAUGCAGGUUCAGGAGACGAGGCCCAGUACAAACAAGCAGCAUUACAGGUUCUGCCCCAGGUGGGUGUCAACAAACGCAAACGCUCCAAUCCCCAGUAUGUGUCUGAGGGGCGGCAGCUGGACAAAACUAAAACCACAACGACAGGGGGCUAUACAACGUGUCUACAAAGUAGCGUGUCGCGUGACGAGGGGGUGGAGGUGAGCGAGGGAGAUGAUACUGACGAUGACCUUGAAAAGGAGAAUGAGGAUGUCAGUAACUCGGGUAGUGUAAAGCCGCGUUACGAGCGGUGUACAAAAAUUGACAAGUUACAAAAGGCGAUUGAGUCGCCUGAUGAAGACUGGGAUGAAUUUGACCGAUCAGCUAGUAUAGAGAAACUUCAAAGCAAUCUGCAGCAUAGCCCAGGUGGGGGCUGGGAGUUCUGAGGCAGUGUGUAGGGGCACCAGACAAUCCUAGGGAUCCCUAUCAACUGAGGCAGUAUGGCAACGUUUAGAGCCACAAUGUGGAGAAGGGCAACAGUUACGGCCCCUAAAGGAGAAGGGCAACAGUUACGGCCCCUAAAGGAGAAGGGCAAAUGUUAUGGCCCCACAAAGAUGAGGGCAAUAGUUACAGCCUCCAAAAGAGAAGUGGCAGCCCUGACUCAGGGCUAGCAUGGAAGCCGCCAAGCCUAUUGGGGUAUAUAGGUAGGGGGGCUUGCCCAGUGCCAGUAAGCCGGGGAGCUAUAGACGUCAAUCUCAGUGAUUCUACAACAGUAUUUCCUGGAAGGGUAGCUUAAUCUAUUUUUAUACAAAGAUACUUUUUAUACCUUUUCACUACAAAAUCAAUGUAUACCUACAGUUACCUGUUAUCUGUGUUGUAGGCUCGUUUUUAUCUGUCACUUAUUACUCUGUCAACGGUGAGUGUAUGUGUGUGUGAACCAGCAAUUUUUGGUGCAAAUAUAUGGAAGACUAGGCUGCUAUGGCUAUAGGCGUCCCACUAGGACGGGCAUGCUCGUGUUCCAUAGGAACCUGCAGUGACAAUGGAAAUGAUUUGGGGCUACCCAGGAUGGAGAGUUGAUAGAUAUUGUGCGGUGGUAUGGUUACUCUGGAGCCGUGGUUGGCUCGCAGCAAGACGAUAACAGUACAUGUGUUCAAACCCUAACACGGUUAGCUCUUUGCUUUAUGUCAUUUUUGUUUAUUCUUUUUUUUUGUUUAUACUAUUUUGACACAAAGAUGUUUCUAUUAUAUACAAUUGUUGUUGAUUAACACUGGUUCUGUAGGCCUGUAUACGGUAGAGGAACGGCCAGCAGGCCGUAGCGUGUUCAGAACUGGUCUUGCGACUGGUCGCGGUAGUGUGUUCAGCGCCGGCUACGGUAGUUGUCUAGUCGCGACGUGUUCAGAGUGAGAGGUUUUGUUGGAACUCUUUAUUAAACAAUGUGUGUAAAAAUACAUAAAUUGAGUGCAAUAUUUCAGGGUUGCAAUGAAUUUGAAACAUUAAUAUGAAGAAAAAAAACAAUUUUGCAAAAAGAAAUUGCUCAAUUUUUGUGGUAGAAACUGUGGACUACACACUAUGACAGCUGACAGAGGGCUGUACGAGAGGUGCUAUAUAUGUGUGUAGACAGUGCUCAGGCACAACAACAUUUUAAUAGCUAAUAGCCAAAGUAUAAGGAAUUAGUAGCUUCACAUUUACACGUAUUCUUGUGCUAGCCAAGUGCGUGAGCAUUGUUAACCGGCUCGGUUGUUGAACGUUAAAGCGAGAGCCGACACCUGUUUUGUAUAUAGUCAGUUGCUCAUGCUCAGUUGUGCAUUUUAUCCGCAGAUUUUUCCAAAAAAAAGGCAUUUUGGACUAUUCUUCAUUUUUUUUUUUUUUUACAAUUAUUGUUGUUGUGUUACAGUAAUGGUAAACCAUUACAUGUAUUUGUGAAUUGAAAGUCUUGUUAAAUAUUUUUAUAUUUGAUUGAUUAUUAGAAUUUUUGCCAAAGUCUGUAAUGUGUGGCUCUACCGGUGGUACGUGGGGCGAUUAGCCAUGCGGUCACCAUUCAUGCUAACUUCAGUAUUUAGCCUGAGGUCGUCAGUGGGCGACGGUCAGUUACCAUUUCACUUCGCCUGUCGGUCAGUUUAUUGUCAUUUUUAAAACGUUUAUACAUAAGACUGUGUGUUUGUGUGAAUGCUGUAUCGGACAAGUACCUAUUCACCUUAUUGUUCCUUCAUCCCUUAGUACCUCAGAUAUCUCUUCUUCUCAAACUAGUACAUUUACGAUCUAGAUCAGUUUACUGAUAGUGCCUGUGGGGAUGGACAAGUCUAAUGCAUUCUGGAUCGGUCCAUUGUUACCCGUCAGGCUGAUCUGGACCUGUCCAUUGUUGUCCAUAGGGUUGAUCUGGACAGGUCCACUGCUGCCUGCAGAGCUGAUCUGGAUUAGUCCAUUGCUGCCCAUGGGGCUGAUCUGGACCGGUCCACUGCUUCUGGAUCAGUCCAUUGUUGUCGUUGACUGAGCUUGACCGGUCUAUGUGGAUAUUAGGUACAUGGGUACAGCACAUCGUGAAAUGAGCGUAAUCAAAUCGUGAUAGAUGUUAUCACAUGACACAAGCACACACCUCAAUUUAAUAGGCAGUUCAGAGUGACCUCUCUCAAAGGUCAACCUGUGAAUGACCUAUGUCAGAGUUCAACUUGAAAAGACCUGUAGCCAAAAUUGACUCAUGGUGGACCUUGUUACAGGUCAACUGAUGAUGACCUGUGUCAAAGGUCAAAUCAUGGCUGUGCAUAGUUUUUGCCCUGUUAUAAUUUUCCCUUAAGUUUACCUUUUAAAUUUGCUAUAAACAAUCAAAUGUUCAUUUUAAGAAAAUUUGUUGAGAAUGUAUGUGCCAUGUUGGCAUAUAACGUUUUUGUGAUUUCGAACUUUUUAAGUACAUUACAAGGCAAAGAAAUGUACAGCUGAUUUGAAAAAGAGGCUUACUUUUUUCCCUCUUUUAUCAAGACACCCUGUCAGUGUUGAAUCUACAAAGUGUAAAUCAAAAAUGUAUGUUUAUGAUAUUUGUUAGGGUUAGAGGCUUCUUAUCGAGGUAUGUACAGUGUACGGUGAUCCGGGUCGUACGCGAUCGCCCACCUCCUUACAGUGUACGGGAGGGUGAUCCGGGUCGUACGGGAGGGUGAUCCGGGUCGUACGGGAGGGUGAUCCGGGUCGUACGCGAUCGCCCAUCUCCUUAAUAGGCUCAGAAUUACCCCAAGUUUGAGGACCUAAUAGUAAAUCAGUUUAGAUUAACAAAGGACAAUCUUUACAGACAACAACAACAAAAAGUCCAGCGUUGAUUUCUUUUGAUUGAUGAUUCUUUUUAACAUUCAAAACUAACCAAACUUGAUUUUUACAAAAAUGAAAGUCUCACUUCACUGCCAUGAAACCUUGGCGUAGUCCGAGGUCAGAAACAUCUACAAUGAUACCCUUAGGUAAAUGUAGAACUGAAAUAAAACGCCUACCCAUAUUUCUACUAAGGCUACAUGUUACCACACUGAAACUGGCACAAUCUAAACAGAAAAGUUACCCUGCAAGAAGUUUCCAGAACACCCAGGUUUAAUGUAUAAGGCCACUUAUAAUAUAUUAGGUUCAUUGUAUGUAGGGAUGCUGAGGCCCCCCAAGUUUUCCCGUCACUGUAUCCUGGCCUCGUUUCUCCAGUGCCUACCACAGAGUCUGUACAUACUUGUGAGAUAGUGAGAUACCACCCUGUGCAAUAGGUAUCUGUUUGUUUGCUGUUUUCAUGUGAACUUUAUAGAUGUAUAGAGAAAUAAGCAUGUUUUAUCAUUAUGUUUACUUAUUCAGUGCUAAUAAAUAAUAUGCAAUGUUUGAUGUGAAAUUUCUCACCCGUCACUUGAUACUUCGUCUGCUUAAAAGGGUGAACUGAAAAAAUAGAGUAUUUAUUCCACGGCCUUCUUUUAAAUAGACAUUUAUUAUGUCACUUGUUUUCAUAUAAUUGUUUAGAAUCUCUCUUAGUUAGAUUUGAACUUUUUUAAGAAAUAAAAAAAAUAAAAAAUCAGAUAAAUUUCAUACUGAUGUGAAAAGUUACACCAAGUCAACGUGAAACCUUGUACUGAUACUAUGUUGUAAAGUUGUAUUAAGAUAUAAUACUGGUAGAGAUGUCGUAAAACAUUUGUCCCCAAUUAGUCAUUUGGCUUAUUACACUGCUGAAUACAACAAAAAUGCAAAUAUUCAGUGAAAGAAAUUUAUCUUUGUCGUUUAACUAACAAAGUGUUCAGAGGCGGUGUGAGAAAUGUUCUCGUCAUUAUUACUGCCAUCGAGGUACAGACAAUUUAUCAUGUUACUUUUAGCAUUUUUGUAAUUAUAAAGAUUUUAACCAAAGAAAAUUUAAUCUAAUGAUGUAGUAGUUGAGAUAUAUAUCUAUAUAUAUAUAUAUGUACAUAGUCGGGUGGGAGUUGUCUCCCCUUUCGCUGCAAUAUUUUUAUGUAGGAUGAUUUUGAUGAUUUUGUAUAUUUUGUUUACUGAAUGUUAACAGUGCAAUUUGUUUAAGUUUGAGUAGGAUAACUUUCCCUGACAUCAAAAAUUGUGUCUGCAGUCUGUCACUAUAUUCCCCUGUUUAUGUGCAAUCCACGUUUAUAGCGUUAAGCCAAAUGUUUUAUCUUAUUUCUAGACAGCUCAGAUUUUUAUCACAAUUGACGCCAAAUUUUGCUUUAGUAAGAUUUUACUGUGGGGUAGGACAUUUUAAAACUUUUUACCUUACCAGUUUGUUCAGUGGUAGAACAUCAACUUUUUACCUUACCAGUUUGUUCAGUGGUAGAACACAACUUUUUACCUUACCAGUUUGUUCAGUGGUAGAACACAACUUUUUACCUUACCAGUUUGUUCAGUGGUAGAACAUCAACUUUUUACCUUACCAGUUUGUUCAGUGGUAGAACAUCAACUUUUUACCUUACCAGUUUGUUCAGUGGUAGGAAGAUCUAAUGUGACAGAAUUAGACUGGUUUUACUACCAUAAACAUACAGGUCCCCGGGACGUGACAUAAUUAGACUGGUUUUACUACCAUAAACAUACAGGUCCCCGGGACGUGACAGAAUUAGACUGGUUUUACUACCAUAAACAUACAGGUACCCGGGACGUGACAGAAUUAGACUGGUUUUACUACCAUAAACAUAUAGGUCCCCGGGACGUGACAGAAUUAGACUGGUUUUACUACCAUAAACAUACAUGUCCCCAGGGCGUGACUGAAUUAGACUGGUUUUACGACCAUAAACAUACAGGUCCCCGGGACGGGACAGAAUUAGACUGGUUUUUCUACCAUAAACAUACAGGUCCCCUGGACGUGACAGAAUUAGACUGGUUUUACUACCAUAAGCAUACAUGUCCCCAGGGCGUGACUGAAUUAGACCGGUUUUACGACCAUAAACAUACAGGUCCCCGGGACGGGACAGAAUUAGCCUGGUUUUUCUACCAUAAACAUACAGGUCCCUGGGACGUGACAGAAUUAGAUUGGUUUUACUACCAUAAACAUACAGGUCCCCGGGACGUGACAUAAUUAGACUGGUUUUACAGCCUUAAACAUACAGGUUCCCAGGACGUGACAGAAUUAGACUGGUUUUACGACCAUAAACAUACAGGUCCCCUGUGAUGGUUCCUCAUCUAACAAAUUUUACUUUAUUAUGGUUUGGUAGAUAGGUAUGUAGACUUCCGAGGGUAAAAGAUAAUUCAGCAAUAUUUACAACUUGUUAUUAGGAAUUUUAUAGGGUAAAGUUUCUGACGUUACUGUUGAGUCUGGUGAAGACUGUUCGGUGUACUUCCCAACAGCUGUAUUUGUUUUUAUGAAAUAUGGUUUACUUCAAUCCUACUUGUAUCAAUUUCACCUGUGACUUCCGUAUUUGGAUUUCACCUAUGUUAAUCACCUGUUUUUCUUCACCUGUUUCUCCCCUUAUUUCUCCCCAGAGGUGUUUUUUCACAAGGGUCUGAUUUUGGGUUCGGGUAGAUAUAGACCAGUAACUGCAAGAAUGGUUAAAGCUUUAAUUUUCUGAAAAUUUAUGGAAAUCCAUGCAAUAAAGUCUGGGUUUGUUUAAAAAAGAUUGUUGACAAUCGUAGUGAUAUAUUCCCCGAUACAUCUACUUAUCUCCCCCUUGCUUCCCUCUCCUGGUUACCUCCCCUUGGUGCCAGCCCUAGUAUUGCCGCAAUUGUUCUAUCGUGACAAGUUAAAAUACUGUAGUAUGUUCGUACUAGUAAUCUAUGUAAACCAUUUUCUUGUGAUGUCCGCCAGAAAUUCCCAGACUGUAAGAUAUCCCCCAACAUUAUAAUGUAUUUACCAAAAAAUAUUUUAUUUGUAAAAUUACUGAUAUUCUGCCAUUUUGGUUUUCAUGUUUACAUGGAAGCUACCUGAUAGGAGGGUGUUACAGCCCCUCCUGCCCACUGUACAGUGUCCUGAGGAGUGACCAGUGGCGGUCUGGACACCCUGUUUGUUAUGUAAGUGUAGUCGGCCACUAUAUGCUACUGACCAAAGGAGAGUUUUGAUAGCUUCUUGCUUUAUUGAGGAGUCAUAAUAGUAAUAAGUUCAUUUUCAUUUGAUUUGCAUUUUUUUUUUGUUAUAUACAUGUGUUAAUAGCUGCAUUUGUUAAUCCUCAACCCGCUACAGUAAAUUUAUAUGAUCUAGUUAUAUCUCCAAAUCCUUCAUGUCUUUGAUUUUCCUUUUAUGUUAUAUCCUAGAGAAGUGACACAAACUACUAGGGUUGAAUAGCAAGCGAUUUCGGGGGUAAAACUCUGAGAAUAUUGUGGCUUGUUAAUCACCUCCCUAUCUAUGUAUCAGUAUAUAAAUAACUAUAUAUAUGCUCAAAGUCUUAUAGAGUGACCCAAAGAAAUGUAUAUAUGAUAGAUAUAUAUAUAUAUGAUUAUACUCGCUACAUAACAAAUGGUAUGUUAGAAUGAUUAUUUUUCUACAAUAAACUUCUAUGAUGUUAAUCAAAGUGAUGUUAUAUUGCUAACACCUGUACGGUUACCUGUCGGGUGUACCUCGACACAAACAAUAGCCUUCCCCACUCCCUCACUUUCUCCACAGCUCUUUCUCUUGCCUCAUCAUAGAUUUGAAAAAAUAUAUCUUUUUCAAAAUCCAAAAGCUUCUGUUUCAUAAAACAGUUCAACUUAGAUUGUUUUCCUGAACUGAAAUUUACCCACAGAAUGUAUUGCCUUACCUAAAGGGAAACCUCGACCCAGUAUGAUGUCGGUCAAUGAAAUUCAAAAAAUCGGUCAAAAUUUUAAACUGGAUUUUAUUCAAUUUUAAUGUAUUAACAGCAAUUUAAUUCAAUUUCAGAUUAAAUUAUAUUGCAUGUAUUAAAAAUAAGUUUUUGAAAUAAAUAGGCGAAAAUAGGUGAACUGUUUAUUGGUCAUGUUACAUUACAAAUAUCCAGAUACUAACUUAUAAUUGAAAUAUUCGAGGAGACGUUGGUGAAUACAGGAACAUGUCUUUUAAUAGAAGACGAAGAUGUCUAUAAAUAGAUUUGGGAAAUGUUUAUAAUAAAUGUAGGAAGAGGUCCAUAAUAGAAGACAGAUGUCUAUAAAUAGAUUAGGUCCUUUUAAGGGGUAUUGUUGAAGGGAUAUGUCUCUAUUAAUAGAAUUAAGGAGCUGUGGAGCGGUGAAUUUUCCUUGAUCUUUUCUACAACUUUUUUGUGAAUGUGCACUGUCUUUUUAACCCUCACAGAUACUAUGAUCAGUUUUUAUACAGAGAUUUUAUUUUAUUUUAAGAUUUUAAUCAUUUUUAAUGCAAGAGAAAUGACACAAAACUUUGUAUGGUGUGAAUCCGACGUAAUGACGUAAACACUUUGUACCAAUGCAUUUUGAUUUGAUCAAAUAAACAUAUUAAAAAUAAUGGUGGCUGUCACUUUUAGGUUGAGGAAAUGAUUGUAGUUGUUGUUUUCAUUUUCAUUUGAAUUGUUUUCAAUUUUAAUAAUAAAGGUUGUAUGUAAGUGACGUAAUUCAUUGUCACACUUCAAAAACUCGCCCGGUUAUAUGUGGACUAUAUCGUUAGAGGAUGUGAAUUUUUGUACGACCCUCUCCCUUUUAUGAGUACGGAGCCUCAAUGUGAGAACCUACUCGUCACCAUAGUGACACAACCAUUAAAUAUAAACCAGGAGUGCUAUAUUUAGAACUAUUUGCCAUUUUUUUGUGGUUUUGACGCGACUUUACAAAUUGUUAUUAUUGCAUGAUCUAGACCUAUUAAUGAAUAUAUGUAUUACAGCAAUGAUUUUUUUCUCUGGUAUUUACCAACAAACUCUGCUAUUUUCCGAUACUGUCUUUUUGACUUCAGCCCUUUCUGUGCUUAAUUUGUACAAGGUACACAAGAAAACUUUUUUCUCAUCUCUGUUUUUUGUGGAUUUUAAUCGUUGGUGGGACGACGUUCCCAGGUGUUUAAUUGUUGGUGGAACAGCGCCCCCUGGUGUCAAACGUCAUCAGCGUAAGACGUCGGACCACAGUUUUGGUGUAUCUAGUCCGAUUGAAAGGGAUGUAUCAGCGCAUUUAACUUUUUCCAUGUUAUAAGUAAUUACAGCUAUACACAGUUGAUUAUUAUUUUAUACUCUAGGUGCUUCAACACUGGAAUAAAAACAUUGUAUAUCAUU